Molecule: ribosomal RNA, 406 nt
Filed under: uncultured bacterium
Lineage: Bacteria
Description: partial 16S ribosomal RNA
Rfam family: Bacterial small subunit ribosomal RNA
Source: RNAcentral
AUUGAACGCUGGCGGCAGGCCUAACACAUGCAAGUCGAACGAGAGGCGGACGGGUGAGUAAUGCCUGGGGAAAUGCCGGACGGAGGGGGAUGACUACUGGAAACGGUAGCUAAUACCGCAUACCAUCAGAUGUGCCCAGAUGGGAUUGGCUUGUUGGUGGGGUAACGGCUCACCAAAGCGACGAUCCCUAGCUGGUCUGAGUGGAUGACCAGCCACACCGCAACUGAGACACGGUCCAGACGCCAACGGGAGGCAGCAGUGUGGAAUAUUGCACAAUGGGCUCAAGCCUGAUGCAGCCAUGCCGCGUGUAUGAAGAAGGCCUUCGGGUUUUAAAGUACUUUCAGCGGGGAGGCGUUACCCGCAGAAGAAGCACCGGCUAACUCCGUGCCAGCAGCCGCGGUAAUUC